UACAGAGGGUGCGAGCGUUGUUCGGAAUUAUUGGGCGUAAAGGGCGCGUAGGCGGUGCGGUAAGUCACCUGUGAAAUCUCCUGGCUCAACUGGGAGCUUGCAGGCGAAACUGCCGUGCUGGAGUGUGGGAGAGGUGCGUGGAAUUCCCGGUGUAGCGGUGAAAUGCGUAGAUAUCGGGGAGGAACACCUGUGGCGAAAGCGGCGCACUGGACCACAACUGACGCUGAGGCGCGAAAGCGUGGGGAGCAAACGGG
Molecule: ribosomal RNA, 254 nt
Filed under: uncultured bacterium
Lineage: Bacteria
Description: partial 16S ribosomal RNA
Rfam family: Bacterial small subunit ribosomal RNA
Source: RNAcentral